AUGAAGGUGAUGCUGCAAUUUGAUUGCAGGAAAAAAAUCGGAAGACCUGAAAUCCACACUAACGACGAAGACGAAGGAUAUUGUUGUUUCUUCUCAGGGGAUGCGAUUAUUGAUGAAGAAGGAUAUGAGGAAUUGCAGAAGAUUGAUGAUGAUAGAAGCGAGGUGCAUCGAGAAAUGAAAUUGAAGGUUCUGUUUUGGGUGAUUUGUGUAGCAAGAUGCUAUGGAGAAGAUGGAACUCAGAGACAGAGAGAGGGAAAGAAAUAA
This is a non-coding RNA of Vicia faba (fava bean), 264 nucleotides long. The record is from the annotation of a GenBank genome assembly. NCBI's taxonomy places the organism in Eukaryota, Viridiplantae, Streptophyta, Magnoliopsida, Fabales, Fabaceae.